GCACAGCACGGUAGCAAUCCGGUGGGUGGCGAGUGGCGGACGGGUGAGGAAUACAUCGGAAUCUACCUUGUCGUGGGGGAUAACGUAGGGAAACUUACGCUAAUACCGCAUACGACCUACGGGUGAAAGCGGAGGACCGCAAGGCUUCGCGCGAUUGGAUGAGCCGAUGUCGGAUUAGCUAGUUGGCGGGGUAAAGGCCCACCAAGGCGACGAUCCGUAGCUGGUCUGAGAGGAUGAUCAGCCACACUGGAACUGAGACACGGUCCAGACUCCUACGGGAGGCAGCAGUGGGGAAUAUUGGACAAUGGGCGCAAGCCUGAUCCAGCCAUGCCGCGUGGGUGAAGAAGGCCUUCGGGUUGUAAAGCCCUUUUGUUGGGAAAGAAAAGCAGUCGGUUAAUACCCGAUUGUUCUGACGGUACCCAAAGAAUAAGCACCGGCUAACUUCGUGCCAGCAGCCGCGGUAAUACGAAGGGUGCAAGCGUUACUCGGAAUUACUGGGCGUAAAGCGUGCGUAGGUGGUUCGUUUAGUCCGAUGUGAAAGCCCUGGGCCUCAACCUGGGAAUUGCAUUGGAUACUGGCGGG
Molecule: ribosomal RNA, 582 nt
Filed under: uncultured bacterium
Lineage: Bacteria
Description: bacterial SSU rRNA
Rfam family: Bacterial small subunit ribosomal RNA
Source: RNAcentral